RNAcentral lists this unclassified non-coding RNA (256 nucleotides) under Hevea brasiliensis (rubber tree). The record is from RNAcentral. Lineage: Eukaryota; Viridiplantae; Streptophyta; Magnoliopsida; Malpighiales; Euphorbiaceae.
GGAAAAUAUAAAUAUGAAUUUAAUAAAAUAAACCAAGCCAUGGGAAAGGAGUCAAAAGAGGAGCAUAGCAACCAAAAGAAAAUACGACAGACAAAACGCAGAGCCGUUGUUUGAUAAACGAAAUUCCCGCGUUUUCAUAGAGAAGCGCCACCCAAAUUUAGCGCAAAAACCAUCAAUAUUUUACCCUGUAAAUUAGGUCAUCUACUGGUUUUGAUUGGAAAAGAAACCUCCUUACCAUCUAGCCGUCAAACAAAAC